AACGAACGCUGGCGGCAUGCCUAACACAUGCAAGUCGAGGGGUAGAAAUAUCCCUGGCGCACGGGUGCGUAACGCGUAGGCAAUCUGCCCUUCACACCGACAUAACAGUUCUAACGGAUUGAUAAUAUCGGAUGUUGUUAUUAUCUUGCAUAAGGUGAUAAUGAAAGUUUCGACGGUGAAGGAUGAGCCUGCGUCUGAUUAGGUAGUUGGCGGGGUAAACGGCCCACCAAGCCGACGAUCAGUAGCUGGUCUGAGAGGAUGAUCAGCCACAUUGGGACUGAGACACGGCCCAGACUCCUACGGGAGGCAGCAGUGAGGAAUAUUGCGCAAUGGACGAAGUCUGACGCAGC
This 350-nucleotide ribosomal RNA is filed under the name uncultured bacterium. RNAcentral's name for it is "bacterial SSU rRNA". It matches the Rfam family "Bacterial small subunit ribosomal RNA", at positions 29 to 392 of the family's 1533-position model. The record is from RNAcentral.